RNA transcript from Musa acuminata AAA Group (dessert banana), 1473 nucleotides. It is a transcript of the gene named E3 ubiquitin-protein ligase AIRP2-like, with no coding region annotated. The transcript is spliced from 6 exons. Lineage: Eukaryota; Viridiplantae; Streptophyta; Magnoliopsida; Zingiberales; Musaceae. The record is from RefSeq and is a predicted model, not a curated record.
AGAGAGAGAGAGAGAGAGAGGUUGCCUUUUCUUGCCUUGCUACUGUGGUCCUCCUUUUGUUGCAUUUUGAUUCUUGGAAGUUUUGCUAAUGGAAUCAAGGCACAGGAUAGCAAUUUAAAGGAUCCCAUUCUCUUUCUUGGUUUCUUGCCCUCUACUUCCCCUUCCUCCUCCUCCUCCCCCUCUUCUUCUUCUUCUUCUUAUCUCACAAAGGUCUAGGAGGGACGAGAAAGGUCGUAAAGGCUAUGUUUCAGAGCCAGCUUGCCAGGCCACCAUCCCUCAGAGGUUCCCUUAAAGCUCUUGAAGCUGACAUAAACCAUGCCAACACCUUGGCAGAUGCCAUUCAAAGAGCUUAUGGUGGUGCCUGUCUCCAGAUGAGGCUGUCCUGUAGUCCUUUGGCACCCUUCUUCCUCUUCCUAAUGCAAUGGCUGGACUGCACUUGUUCUUACAGCCUACCAAGUUAUUUAGGGCUUUUCCAAAUACUUGUCUACAAGGUUUAUGUUGAUGGUAUGACAACAGUAUCUACGUUCGAAAGACGGGCCAGCAUCAGAGAGUUCUAUGCUAUUAUAUAUCCUUCCCUUCAACAAAUUAAAGGCAACAUAGUGGAAAGAGAACAAUCUAAAGAGAAAGGCCGAGAUAAAUAUCUAGUUGGCAGAAAAAGAAUGGAAGAACCGAAGAAGCUUUUCGAUGAGGAUUUUGACAGAGACGACGAAUGUGGGAUUUGCCUGGAGGUUUGCACCAAAAUGGUCCUGCCGAGCUGCAGCCAUGCUAUGUGUAUAAAAUGCUACCGCGACUGGAAUGUGAGAUCUCAGUCCUGCCCCUUCUGUAGAGGAAGCAUAAAAAGAGUGCGUUCAAGAGACUUAUGGGUGCUUACAAACAAGAGUGAGGUGGUCGACACCAUGACUUUAGAAAGGGAUAACCUGAGGCGCUUCUAUCGCUAUAUAGAUAGCUUGCCACUGAUCAUUCCAGACAGCCUUUUCUUGGUUUAUUAUGAUUAUGUAGUAUAACCAUGAGAUUUAAGGAUGUACAGAUUGCUGGAAAGCUGGCCAGCCAUUCCUUGCGGAUUGGUUCUGGAAGUUGAACACUACAGCACAUUAUGGAUUGGAAAAACUGUUUUGAAGAACUAUUUUGGACUACAGCACCAUGUCUCAAGAUUCCUGUGUCAUUCUUACUCAAAACAUGCUCUUCUAUGGACUACUUGGAUUCACUAGGACAAGACAUGGGGACAGGACUGUUUGGAGGAAAUUAUUGAUGCUGUGAGAGAUGACCAGGGACCUGUUUGAGUAUACACUGGGAAACAGGAAACUAAUCUUCUGUUUUAUAGAUCGUCCGAGUUGCAAAUGCUGAUCUCUUGCAUCUUCUUGAAAUACCAGAAUCGAUUCAAAACUGAAUGUGAGAUUAAAUCUUCCUGUAGCUCUCAAUUCAAACAAUGAAUAGAUCUGGGUUGAAAUUGUACUGAUAAAUCUGUGUUUUGUA